UCUACGGGUGGCAGCAGUGGGGGAUAUUGCACAAUGGGGGGAACCCUGAUGCAGCGACGCCGCGUGGGUGAAGGAGUGCUUCGGCAUGUAAAGCCCUAUCGGCAGGGAAGAAGCAAGACGGUACCUGACUAAGAAGCCCCGGCUAACUACGUGCCAGCAGCCGCGGUAAUACGUAGGGGGCGAGCGUUAUCCGGAUUCACUGGGUGUAAAGGGAGCGUAGACGGCGAGACAAGUCUGGAGUGAAAGGCCGGGGCCCAACCCCGGGACUGCUCUGGAAACUGCCUGGCUGGAGUACAGGAGAGGUAAGUGGAAUUCCUAGUGUAGCGGUGAAAUGCGUAGAUAUUAGGAGGAACACCAGUGGCGAAGGCGGCUUACUGGACUGUAACUGACGUUGAGGCUCGAAAGCGUGGGGAGCAAACAGGAUUAGAUACCCUAGUAGUC
This 441-nucleotide ribosomal RNA is filed under the name uncultured bacterium. RNAcentral's name for it is "partial 16S ribosomal RNA". It matches the Rfam family "Bacterial small subunit ribosomal RNA", at positions 338 to 795 of the family's 1533-position model. The record is from RNAcentral.